AAACGAACGCUGGCGGCAGGCUAACACAUGCAAGUCGAACGGGAUCUUCGGAUCUAGUGGCGGACGGGUUAGUAACGCGAACGUACCCUUUUCUACGGAAUAGCCUCGGGAAACUGAGAGUAUACCGUAUACGCCCUUCGGGGGAAAGAUUUAUCGGAGAAGGAUCGGCCCGCGUAAGAUUAGAUAGUUGGUGGGUGUAAUGGCCUACCAAGUCUACGAUCUUUAGCUGGUUUGAGAGGAUGAUCAGCAACACUGGGACUGAGACACGGCCCAGACUCCUACGGGAGGCAGCAGUGGGGAAUCUUAGACAAUGGGGGAAACCCUGAUCUAGCCAUGCCGCGUGAGUGACGAAGUGCCUUAGGGUCGUAAAGCUCUUUCGCUGGGGAAGAUAAUGACUGUACCCAGUAAAGAAACCCCGGCUAACUCCGUGCCAGCAGCCGCGGUAAUACGGAGGGGGUUAGCGUUGUCCGGAAUUACUGGGCGUAAAAGCGCGCGUAGGCGGACUGGAAAGUUGGGACGUGAAAUCCCGGGGCUCAACCCCGGAACGGCUCCAAAACUAUCAGUCUAGGAGUUCAGAGAGAGGUGAGUGGGAAUUCCGAAUGUUAGAGGUGAAAUUCGUAGAUCUUCCGGAGGAACAACCACUUGGGACGAAAGGGCGGCUCCACUUGGGCCUCGAAUACUGAACGGCUGAACGUUGCUGACAAAAGACGUUGGGGAAGCAAACAGGAUUAGAUUGACCCUGGUUAGAUCCCACGGCCGGUAAACAGACUAAAUGCCAGGUCGUCAGAGGCCUCCCUUUGGUCCACACCUAGAUAAGCUCCGCUAGAAUACAGC
This 834-nucleotide ribosomal RNA is filed under the name uncultured Paracoccaceae bacterium. Its description in RNAcentral is "bacterial SSU rRNA". It matches the Rfam family "Bacterial small subunit ribosomal RNA". Lineage: Bacteria; Pseudomonadati; Pseudomonadota; Alphaproteobacteria; Rhodobacterales; Paracoccaceae. The record is from RNAcentral.